Molecule: transfer RNA, 72 nt
Filed under: Bos taurus (domestic cattle)
Lineage: Eukaryota; Metazoa; Chordata; Mammalia; Artiodactyla; Bovidae
Also listed under: 4 other names
Rfam family: tRNA
About the family: Transfer RNA (tRNA) molecules are approximately 80 nucleotides in length. Their secondary structure includes four short double-helical elements and three loops (D, anti-codon, and T loops).
Source: Rfam by way of RNAcentral
UCCCUGGUGGCUCAGAUGGUAAAGAAUCUGCCUACAAUGCAGAAGACCUGGGUUCGAUCCCUGGGUUGGGAA